Molecule: ribosomal RNA, 497 nt
Filed under: uncultured bacterium
Lineage: Bacteria
Description: partial 16S ribosomal RNA
Rfam family: Bacterial small subunit ribosomal RNA
Source: RNAcentral
GAUGAACGCUGGCGGCGUGCCUAAUACAUGCAAGUCGAGCGAACAGACGAGGAGCUUGCUCCUCUGACGUUAGCGGCGGACGGGUGAGUAACACGUGGAUAACCUACCUAUAAGACUGGGAUAACUUCGGGAAACCGGAGCUAAUACCGGAUAAUAUAUUGAACCGCAUGGUUCAAUAGUGAAAGACGGUUUUGCUGUCACUUAUAGAUGGAUCCGCGCCGCAUUAGCUAGUUGGUAAGGUAACGGCUUACCAAGGCGACGAUGCGUAGCCGACCUGAGAGGGUGACCGGCCAAACUGGAACUGAGACACGGUCCAGACUCCUACGGGAGGCAGCAGUAGGGAAUCUUCCGCAAUGGGCGAACGCCUGACGGAGCAACGCCGCGUGAGUGAUGAAGGUCUUCGGAUCGUAAAACUCUGUUAUUAGGGAAGAACAAAUGUGUAAGUAAAUAUGCACGUCUUGACGGUACCUAAUCAGAAAGCCACGGCUAACUACGUG